This 795-nucleotide long non-coding RNA is filed under the name Nicotiana tabacum (common tobacco). RNAcentral's name for it is "long non-coding RNA (NTAB_LNC002242)". Lineage: Eukaryota; Viridiplantae; Streptophyta; Magnoliopsida; Solanales; Solanaceae. The record is from RNAcentral.
UCCUGGAAAAUUAUAACAAAUAUACAAGAAAGUUUCAGAAUCUAACCGUCAGUCAAACAUUAAUCUAAAGCUAACAGAUUGGUGCACAUGUAGCAUGAGAAUUGAAGGCUUAAACUGAUGGUCCAUUCUAUUGCAGAAUAGAAGACGGUGAAUGGCUUUGAAAGGAGAUUAGACAAUCUUAAUUUCUUUGAUACCCGAGAAAUCCCUGAGGGUCAGUGACGUAGGGUUUGAAGCUCGGUGGUUAAUGGGCCUGCCCCUUUAUCCUUCUCUACUUAAAUAUCAGGCUUUUGUUUGCAGCAAGGUUAGAACCUGCGAUGUGCGCCUAACCCAUAUCACCUGUUGCACUUCUCCACUAGACCAAAGCCCCCGGGGCAAGGGAUAAGACAAUAUUUGCUUAGGCUACAAUGAUCCAUUCUCGGACAUACUGGGAUACCUUAACAUGGUCUCAUGGAAGCCCUUGAUGAGUUUCACAAUAAUGGGGGUUAUGAAAGAGCAUCCCCUCUGCUUCGGUCUUCAAAUUUCUUCAUUCAGGAAGUCCAAUGAGUUCAAGACCAUUUUCUUCGCGGAAAAUUUAUACACUUGAAUUCCCGCUACUUUCACAUUGUUCUUUUGCAAAGAAUUGUAAGAGAGAUCAUUCAGCAUCUUGGGUGCAGCAGUUGUCCCGCAUUCUAAGCUUGUCCUUUGUUUGCAGCAAGGUUAGAACCUGCGAUGUGCGCCUAACCCAUAUCACCUGUUGCACUUCUCCACUAGACCAAAGCCCCCGGGGCAAGGGAUAAGACAAUAUUUGCNNNNNNN